This 72-nucleotide transfer RNA is filed under the name Camelus bactrianus (Bactrian camel). It matches the Rfam family "tRNA". From Rfam's summary of the family: Transfer RNA (tRNA) molecules are approximately 80 nucleotides in length. Their secondary structure includes four short double-helical elements and three loops (D, anti-codon, and T loops). Lineage: Eukaryota; Metazoa; Chordata; Mammalia; Artiodactyla; Camelidae. RNAcentral also lists the same sequence under 3 other names. The record is from Rfam by way of RNAcentral.
GGGGGUGUAGCUCAGUGGUACAGCAUGUGCUUGGCAUGCCUGAGGUCCUGGGUGUAAUCCCCAGUGCCUUCC